This 25-nucleotide non-coding RNA is filed under the name Mus musculus (house mouse). The record is from RNAcentral. Lineage: Eukaryota; Metazoa; Chordata; Mammalia; Rodentia; Muridae.
UGCUUGUUUCUUCUCUACCCCAUUC